This 65-nucleotide transfer RNA is filed under the name Chrysomeloidea sp. 4 KM-2017. Its description in RNAcentral is "tRNA-Gly". Lineage: Eukaryota; Metazoa; Arthropoda; Insecta; Coleoptera. The record is from RNAcentral.
AAUUAUAUAGUAUAAUUAUUACAUUCGACUUCCAAUCGAAAAAUUUAUUUUAAUUAAUAUAAUUU